Trichoplusia ni (cabbage looper) is the source of this 336-nucleotide long non-coding RNA. RefSeq lists it as uncharacterized. Lineage: Eukaryota; Metazoa; Arthropoda; Insecta; Lepidoptera; Noctuidae. The transcript has 2 exons. The record is from RefSeq and is a predicted model, not a curated record.
CACUGGUACUUAGCUGAAUCCAGUUAGACUGGAAGCCGACCCAACAUAGUUGGGAAAAAGGCUAGGCUGAUGAUUCAAAGUGACGUGAUGCCGCGAGUAAACGUUAUGGCCUAUUGCCUGCUAUUCCUAGAUAAAUGGGGGGAACGGAGCUUUGGACGCGAGCGCCUGACACGAAUGCCUGAGCAAAACUGAAUGAACGCCGGACUGCGGGAUCCACACAGGCGCUGUCCUGGGCUACAUUAUGAUCGUUAUCCACUAAGACGUAACGGUAAAGUAGUAAAACAAGUCGGAUUACUUCUGAGAUGGUGUUUUUAAUAAAAGUUUUUGAUUUCAUAA